Molecule: small RNA, 29 nt
Filed under: Bombyx mori (domestic silkworm)
Lineage: Eukaryota; Metazoa; Arthropoda; Insecta; Lepidoptera; Bombycidae
Description: piRNA piR-bmo-1568157
Source: RNAcentral
UGUAUCUGUUGAUAGUACGAUAUACGAAC